RNAcentral lists this ribosomal RNA (253 nucleotides) under uncultured bacterium. RNAcentral's name for it is "partial 16S ribosomal RNA". It matches the Rfam family "Bacterial small subunit ribosomal RNA", at positions 524 to 776 of the family's 1533-position model. The record is from RNAcentral.
UACAGAGGUCUCAAGCGUUGUUCGGAAUCACUGGGCGUAAAGCGUGCGUAGGCUGUUUCGUAAGUCGUGUGUGAAAGGCGCGGGCUCAACCCGCGGACGGCACAUGAUACUGCGAGACUAGAGUAAUGGAGGGGGAACCGGAAUUCUCGGUGUAGCAGUGAAAUGCGUAGAUAUCGAGAGGAACACUCGUGGCGAAGGCGGGUUCCCGGACAUUAACUGACGCUGAGGCACGAAGGCCAGGGGAGCGAAAGGG